AUGAGCAGGACGGCGGCGGCCUCGUGGCGGCGUGGCCCGUCCGCGAAGGGACGCGUGGAGCCGGAGGCCGCUGGCAUUCCUCGGACGCUGCAGCUCGGCGCCAUGAUCCUCGUUUUGUGCCUCCUGAAUAUCUACUUCAAUAUUUACAACAAGCCGGUUCAGAGAGUAUUUCCCUUCCCAUACACCAUCACCACCUUCCACUUCGCAUUCGGCUCCUUCUUCAUCACUCUCAUGUGGCUGCUAAACCUUCAUCCCAAGCCAAGGCUCUCCCUUCAACAGUACGCAAAGAUCCUUCCUUUGGCGUUAAUACACAUGACGGCCAUUGUCUUCGCCAACAUGAGUUUGGGCAAGGUGGCGGUCUCCUUCACGCACACCAUCAAGGCAGGGAACGCCGUUCCACUCUCCGUCUUGCUGCUCAGGCAGACACCUUCUCUACUUGUAUUAGGUUCUCUCGUGUCAGUUGUUGGUGGAGUUGUACUGGCAUCUAUGACUGAAAUUUCAUUCAACUGGUUAGUUGCAAUGUUUGCCAUCUCUUAA
Molecule: ribosomal RNA, 537 nt
Filed under: Triticum aestivum (bread wheat)
Lineage: Eukaryota; Viridiplantae; Streptophyta; Magnoliopsida; Poales; Poaceae
Description: partial small subunit ribosomal RNA
Source: RNAcentral